Oreochromis aureus is the source of this 1078-nucleotide long non-coding RNA. The record is from Ensembl. Lineage: Eukaryota; Metazoa; Chordata; Actinopteri; Cichliformes; Cichlidae.
AAGCAGGUUUAUUUAAUAUCCAGUAUGUUUCCAAUUAGUUCCGAAUUCACCUUGAAUUCAAUUCAAUUCAAUUUUAUUGAUAUAGCAGCAAAUCAUACCACCAGUCACUUCAAGGCUGUAUGUAUUAUUGUAAGGUAGACCCUACAAUAAUACAUACAGAGAACCCAACAAUCAUAUGACCCCCUAUGAGCAAGCACUUUGGCGACAGUGGGAAGGAAAAACUCCCUUUUUACAGGAAGAAACCUCCAGCAGAACCAGGCUCAGGGAGGGGCGGCCAUCUGCUGCGACCGGUUGGGGUGAGAGAAGGAAGACAUUUGUUGUAGGUCUGAUUGAAGGACUGAUGUGAUGGUAAGUUGUCUGCUGCUCUGCUUUGAAUAUUGAGAGAUUAGUUGAUGGAUUUCAAGCCAAAUUGUGCCCAAGUUUAAGACCAUAUUCAUUGAUUGUUUUUGUUGAUGUUAUUGUUUUGGGCUUUUUUUCCACAAGAAUUUCUAGCUCCCCUAGAAUUUUGGCCACCCAAACAAUCGGACGAUUGCUGAGAAAGCACAAGGUUUUCUCCCCCUGUGCUAUUCAUAUCGGUGCCUGGGGGUUCUCCUUGAGAGGUCAGGGUCGAAAAAGGGAUGCUUCAGAACCUCCGAGGGUGUUAUGCGCUGAUUUGCAUCCAAGGCCAACAUCUGUUUGAUUAGCCUUACAAAUAAUGGUUGGCCAUUUUCAGGUCCUCGCCUAACCUCCAGUAGUUGUUCGAGGUCAUCUAGACACUUAAGUUUUAUCGAUCGAGUUUCUUUGGAUUGAUAAUCUGUCUCGUCUUGAAAUUGUUCUUGGGUCUUAAAUGUCCAGCGCCGUUCGUUGUACUUAUCCUCGAUGAAAUAGCAAUCAGUAUACAAGCCAGACUCUAGAAGAUGAUCUGGUAGCUGACCCUGAGUUUCAAUUAUGAAUUUCAAAACAUCAUAAUCGUCUUCCCCAGGAUAGAGAGGCAGCCCUGUAGCAAGCUCCACAGCUACCAGCCCCAGAGACCACAUGUCAAUUGCUUCAUCAUAUGAUGUGCCAAGCAUAAUCUCAGGUGCACAAUAACCAAUUGUCC